AAGUGGAGCAAUCCAUGAGUAAAGUGGCGACCGGGUGAGUAACACGUGACUAACCUACCUUUCAGUGGGGAAUAACCUCGGGAAACCGGGGCUAAUACCGCAUAAUGUCUUCGGACCAAAGGAGCAAUUCGCUGGAAGAGGGGGUCGCGGCCGAUUAGCUAGUUGGCGGGGUAACGGCCCACCAAGGCAAUGAUCGGUAGCCGGCCUGAGAGGGCGCACGGCCACACUGGAACUGAAACACGGUCCAGGCUCCUACGGGAGGCAGCAGUGGGGAAUUUUGCGCAAUGGGGGAAACCCUGACGCAGCAACGCCGCGUGGAGGAUGAAGCCCCUUGGG
This 336-nucleotide ribosomal RNA is filed under the name uncultured bacterium. Its description in RNAcentral is "bacterial SSU rRNA". It matches the Rfam family "Bacterial small subunit ribosomal RNA", at positions 72 to 422 of the family's 1533-position model. The record is from RNAcentral.